This 2628-nucleotide long non-coding RNA is filed under the name Salmo salar (Atlantic salmon). RNAcentral describes it as "lncRNA (ENSSSAG00000092232.1)". The record is from RNAcentral. Lineage: Eukaryota; Metazoa; Chordata; Actinopteri; Salmoniformes; Salmonidae.
GUUAUUUGUUCAGGUCGGUAUGUUCUGGCUGGUUUGUACCGGGUGCUGUUUAUCACCCAUGCUUUGUGUAAACCGUUCUUUUUGCACUUGUAAAUGGUUUACUUUGUGCUGUCGCGUAAAUUGCGUUGUUUCACUCAUCUCUGCUCUCCUGCGCCUGACUUUAUACACCAGCUACACCCACCAACCUGACAGGGAUCAGGCGGCACAUGCAAUCAAUGAUCACUUUCGCUACAACAGAACAGAAAUGUCUGCCAGGCUACGGGUCCUAUUGGAGGGCUCUGAUAUCCGUAAGCUAACAUUGCCUUCUGGAAUCCCUGCUACUGUGGCUGUGCUUGGCACAAUUGUGCAAGAGACAUUUCGGCUUAAAAAAUAAUUUGUUCUACAGUAGGUGGACAGUGAAUUUGGAGAUCAGUAAUUUUAUUUGCUUGAUACUGAAGACCUAAAGGAUAAAGACACCAUCAAAGUGGUUGACCUUGACGGCCCACCUCUUAUUACUUUACAUGUACAAGAACUCAAUAACAGCUCCAUCGGAUGAGGGGCUCCCUUGGAUCACGUGACACUGUGAUAUUGUCCUCUCCAGAAAGUACCUCUUCCCAACGCUCCAGUCCAUGGCCAUCUGAGUUUGAAGUUCCUCGCUUUGCUUAUGAUACAGAGCUCAUUCUUGAGGCAACUAAUGAAGCACACAUGAAGGAUGGAACACUACUCAACAAUCUGCCUGUGAAAUCAGACAUCCUGGAAAAACAACUGUCUGAAAGGAUCUUCCAGUUUACAGCCUAUCCGUCAAGUCUACAAAUUUGGUAGGUUGCAGAAGUUUGAUAAAAAAGUACCCAUGUCUUAAGAGCCUGGAUCCUUCUCAGGCCUGUACGGAUGGCAAACCAGUCUGAAGUACAAGAUGGGCAAUUACAGAUCGAAACUGAGAGGAAUUGGUUGCCCAGAACUGGAAGUGAACUCUGUCAAGAGAAUAUCACCAUAGGACUGGCCCGUUGCCAAGAACAUAAAAAAAACUAAGAAGGUGGAGGUGAAUUACCCCCCACCCUGCUGGAGAAACAGAUGAGACCCUGGAGAGGGAGCGAGUGGAGCUACUGGGAGAAGUACAAAUACGUGACAACCACAACAUUGUGAGUGCCAAAAUGGCGAAGACAAGAUGUCGUUCAGGCCUUUCCUGUGAAGGACUUCAAAGAUAGAUGGCCAGCCCUGUUUGAGCCCACUCAGAUUAAGGAAAUUCAGAAGAAUUACAACUGUUGCUCUUGAGUCCACCUUUCUGCAGAAGCUGGAUGAAUUUACACCAAAACUAUUGGACUUGUUUAAGUCAAAAGGAGGUGCUGUAAAGACAGACAUGCAGAAAAUACUUGAAGUUCUGCACGGGUGCAACACCAUCCAGGAAAGAAGAGACAGUGUGACCCGUGGCCUGAUCAUAUACCUCGGCGAGAGGGUUGAAGAUUACAGAAUACAAGUCUGUUAUUUCUUCUUUUUUUUUUUACUCCGGAUGCUGACGACACCAUGAUCCGAGAGGACCUCGUUCAGCAUGUGAUGAAUAUGUUCACUAUGAAGCAUCUGCACCAGAAUAUAGAGCAUGGGAUCUGCAUCGAAGGAGCAGAGGUCCUGGCUGGUAUUCCCAGUGUUACACAGGCAUGUACCUUGCUUAUGGGCCUCCUCUAUGGCAUAAAUCUAAGGUACCCUAAAGAACUGAAAUAUACCUUUGAGGUGUUCCAAAAAGUAUUCUUGGAACUUGAUGAUCUCAGGACCUCCCGACAGGUCCAUGCUCUAAAGAUGAAGUUACUUGUUUUCAGAGAUAUCUAAAGAUAUCUAUGAGAACUGUCAAAGGGCCACUCACAAACUGUGGUCUAAACCCUACUCAGUAAGCUGAAAAGCUAGUUGCUAGGUGGUAUAGGAGCUACAGUUUACAUUGUGCUCUUUGUCAGGUAAAGUCAUAAGAGACAUUGCCAAAUCCUGUUUUAAAAAAACAGCUUUGUUUUAAAACUUAGGCCAUAUGCACUAGUGGAUAUCUGAGAUUAUUUGUCAGGUGCAAGCUAUCUGGAUGUAACUUUACCUAAGGAGGCAAGGUGGAGUUAUACCCAGAAUGCUUAUACCUGUCAAAAUAAUAUGUCCAUAUGGGCUUCACUAGUGCAUAUGGAGUCAGGUUUAAGGGAGAAUUUAGCAUAUAUUUUGUAACAAUAUGUGUAAUGUAUGUUUUGAAAACCCAUGUUUUGAUUAAUCUGAAACAGUUUGAAUGAGGUUGUAUUUGAGCUAAAGUUCAUAUUGUGCUUUGUGUAAAGUCUAUUAAGAUAAAUCGUUCAUUUACAUUUCUGUUAAAAUAUUGUUUUGUUGUUAAGGGGCACACAGACCACCAGAGAAUUCUUGCCAGACUGCACAAGAUGUGAGGUCAAAGUGCCAAUCCCAAACUAUCACCUAAACCUUAUGCAUUUGUGAAGAUCUAAAAGUAUUUGUAGUCAGGUGCAGCUAUCUGGAUGUAACUUUACCUAAGGAGGCAAGGUGGAAUUAUACCCAGAAUGAUUACAGAUUACAAAAUAUGAUUGCCUAAAGAGUAGGGUUUAAGGGGCAAUUUGAGAUUGAUGUUUGAAGAAAUUAUAAAAUUAUAACAUUUAUUUUAUUCAAAAUAAAGGUGUG